Molecule: ribosomal RNA, 467 nt
Filed under: uncultured bacterium
Lineage: Bacteria
Description: partial 16S ribosomal RNA
Rfam family: Bacterial small subunit ribosomal RNA
Source: RNAcentral
GACGAACGCUGGCGGCGUGCUUAACACAUGCAAGUCGAACGGAAAGGCCUCUUUCGGGGGGUACUCGAGUGGCGAACGGGUGAGUAACACGUGAGUAACCUGCCCUUGACUUUGGGAUAACUUCAGGAAACUGGGGCUAAUACCGGAUAGGAGCUCCUGCUGCAUGGUGGGGGUUGGAAAGUUUAGGCGGUUGGGGAUGGACUCGCGGCUUAUCAGCUUGUUGGUGGGGUAGUGGCUUACCAAGGCUUUGGCGGGUAGCCGGCCUGAGAGGGUGACCGGCCACAUUGGGACUGAGAUACGGCCCAGACUCCUACGGGAGGCAGCAGUGGGGAAUAUUGCACAAUGGGUGGAAGCCUGAUGCAGCAACGCCGUGUGCGGGAUGACGGCCUUCGGGUUGUAAACCGCUUUCGCUCAUGACGAAGCUUUGUGUGACGGUAGUGGGUAAAGAAGCACCGGCUAACUACGUG